ACUCCUACGGGAGGCAGCAGUAGGGAAUCUUGCGCAAUGGGCGAAAGCCUGACGCAGCGACGCCGCGUGAGCGAAGAAGGCCUUCGGGUCGUAAAGCUCUGUCCUCAGGGAAGAAGGAAGUGGCGGUACCUGAGGAGGAAGCCCCGGCUAACUACGUGCCAGCAGCCGCGGUAAU
This 175-nucleotide ribosomal RNA is filed under the name uncultured Pelotomaculum sp. RNAcentral describes it as "partial 16S ribosomal RNA". It matches the Rfam family "Bacterial small subunit ribosomal RNA", at positions 335 to 524 of the family's 1533-position model. The record is from RNAcentral. Lineage: Bacteria; Bacillati; Bacillota; Clostridia; Eubacteriales; Desulfotomaculaceae.